RNAcentral lists this ribosomal RNA (492 nucleotides) under uncultured bacterium. RNAcentral describes it as "partial 16S ribosomal RNA". It matches the Rfam family "Bacterial small subunit ribosomal RNA", at positions 29 to 507 of the family's 1533-position model. The record is from RNAcentral.
AGUGAACGCUGGCGGCAGGCCUAACACAUGCAAGUCGAACGGCAACACAGUAAGAUUUUUCUCCUACGGGUGGCGAGUGGCGGACGGGUGAGGAAUACAUCGGAAUCUUCUUUUUCGGGGGGGAUAACGUAGGGAAACUUACGCUAAUACCGCAUACGACCUACGGGUUAAAGCAGUGGAUCUUCGGAGCUUUGGUGUCUGUAUGAGCCGAUGUCGGAUUAGCUAGUUGGCGUGGUAAAGGACCACCAAGGCAACGAUCCGUAGCUGGUCUGAGAGGAUGAUCAGCCACACUGGAACUGAGACACGGUCCAGACUCCUACGGGAGGCAGCAGUAGGGAAUCUUGGGCAAUGGGCGAAAGCCUGACCCAGCAAUGCCGCGUGGGUGAAGAAGGUCUUCGGGUUGUAAAGCCCUUUUGUUGGGAAAGAACAACAGCGGGAUAAUACACCGCUGUUCUGACGGUACCCAAAGAGUAAGCACCGGCUAACUACGUG